This is a non-coding RNA of Drosophila virilis, 295 nucleotides long. Lineage: Eukaryota; Metazoa; Arthropoda; Insecta; Diptera; Drosophilidae. The record is from RefSeq and is a predicted model, not a curated record.
AAAAAAAAUGCAUAGAAAAUAGAUUUUAAAAAAAUAUAGGCAUUGUGCAUUAAAUCAGCUUUUAUUGUUCAUAAUAUAUUGCCCAGAAACAGGCUUAAUUAAAAUACAUUAGAAAUAUAACAAAGCGGCUUUAAUUGUUUAUAACAUAUUGCUUAGGAACAGGCCUAAUUAAAAAUAUAAAUAUAACCUUUAAUUGAAAUAUCGAUUACAAGUGGCAACUCGUCAAUUGCUUUCGCAAAAGGUUCGCAUCAUUUGGACUAAAAUCUCAAAUCUCAAAUCAAAACGCUUGCAAAAA